GUGGCGCACGGGUGAGUAACACGUGGGAACCAACCCUGAGGUUCGGAAUAACCGCGGGAAACUGCGGCUAAUACCGGAUAUCCCCUACGGGGGAAAGAUUUAUCGCCUUGGGACGGGCCCGCGUCCGAUUAGCUAGUUGGUGAGGUAAUGGCUCACCAAGGCAACGAUCGGUAGCUGGUCUGAGAGGAUGACCAGCCACACUGGAACUGAGACACGGUCCAGACUCCUACGGGAGGCAGCAGUGGGGAAUAUUGGGCAAUGGAGGCAACUCUGACCCAGCCAUGCCGCGUGGGUGACGAAGGUCUUCGGAUUGUAAAGCACUUUUGUCCGGAAAGAAAAGCACCGGGUUAAUACCCUGGUGUCAUGACGGUACCGGAAGAAUAAGCACCGGCUAACUUCGUGCCAGCCGCCGCGGU
Molecule: ribosomal RNA, 416 nt
Filed under: uncultured bacterium
Lineage: Bacteria
Description: bacterial SSU rRNA
Rfam family: Bacterial small subunit ribosomal RNA
Source: RNAcentral